Molecule: long non-coding RNA, 1217 nt
Organism: Diabrotica virgifera virgifera (western corn rootworm)
Lineage: Eukaryota; Metazoa; Arthropoda; Insecta; Coleoptera; Chrysomelidae
Exons: 2
Source: RefSeq, a predicted model, not a curated record
UCCACUUUACAUCAACAAUAAAUUGGACAAGAAAUUGACCAAGUUAUUCAAGGCCAAAUUUGACGUGUAAAAGCACACUUUGACAUCUAAGUUUGUUCGUUAUAAACUUCACGUGAAGAAAUUGACGAAAAAGAAAAUUGUUCUAUUUUUUCAUUUAUUUGGCGUGAAUUCAGUGUCACCAACCUGUGUCCAUUUGGCGGGAAGUGGAAGUAGAGCUUUUUGUUUAUUAUUAUUUGUUGAGGUUGAGUCUUUCAUGUUCAUGACAACCUAAAAAUUUUGAUUGGAAAAUGCAUAUAAGAUAAGGGGGUGGGAAAAUGGAAAUUAGUGGCUUUUUUGCAGUUCUGUCUGUUAGUUUUGCUCUGGCUGGGUCUCUUUUGUUUAAACAAUUAUAAUCAGCUGAAAGUGGUCUACAAAAAAACCAGGAAGGAAACGUAUUAUAGCCUUGUUGUGGCUAUGAAAGGCAAAAGAAAGAUACCUAUAAAAAGUGUGUUGACUAGUUGGAAGAAACUCCACAUUGUCGAUGCAUAAUAAGAUAUUACUUUAUAAACAAAUAUCAAGACCUAGGAAUGGAACCUGGAUAAUAUAGUCAUCAAGAAGAUAGCAGGAGGUCAUGAGCAACAACAACUUCAUAAGUAUGAGAAUAUUGAGGAAAUCCAGCUCCUCGAUAUCUACUACUGGACAAACUAGAAGAUUGAAGAGGACAAAGCCUUUUGAACUAGUUUGAGUGAUAGGUGAUAGUGAAAAGCAGAGCGUAGUGCUUGUGUGCCUGUGUAUGUUAGAAUAGUGCACGAUCUUGUUAGAUUAGAUAAGAGACGCUAUAGGGUAAGCUCUUCAUUUUAAGGAACAGUAGUAAUUUAGGUUAAAUUAAAAUUGCUCAUUGGUCAGUUAUGACCAGAUUGUAAUUCUCUGAUGUUUGGCAAAAAGGGCUGAAGUCAGAAUUGCACAUCAAUAAUGUUUUGAUGAUUUCUGGACCAUAAAAAAAGUGUUGCAGACUUAAACUGUAUGUACCAAUAAAAAGAGCCGAUUUUUCUGGUCCAGAAAUCAUCAAAACAUUAUCGAUGUGCAAUUCUGACUUAAGCCCUUUUUCCCAAACAUCAGAGAAUUGCAAUGUACAAUUCAAUACAAAUGAAUCAUCAUCGUAGUGAUGAUUAUGGAAAAAAAUAUAUAUAUAUAUAUAGAAAUAUAUAUAUUUUGUGCAAUAAAAAUGUUUAUAUUUA